This 380-nucleotide ribosomal RNA is filed under the name uncultured bacterium. RNAcentral's name for it is "bacterial SSU rRNA". It matches the Rfam family "Bacterial small subunit ribosomal RNA", at positions 28 to 402 of the family's 1533-position model. The record is from RNAcentral.
GAUGAACGCUAGCGGGAGGCCUAACACAUGCAAGCCGAGCGGGAUUUCAGAUGUAGCUUGCUACAUUUGAAUGAGAGCGGCGCACGGGUGCGGAACACGUGUGCAACCUGCCUUUAUCUGGGGGAUAGCCUUUCGAAAGGAAGAUUAAUACCCCAUAAUAUAUUUGAUGGCAUCAUUAAAUAUUGAAAACUCAGGUGGAUAAAGAUGGGCACGCGCAAGAUUAGAUAGUUGGUAGGGUAACGGCCUACCAAGUCUACGAUCUUUAGGGGCCUGAGAGGGUGAUCCCCCACACUGGUACUGAGACACGGACCAGACUCCUACGGGAGCAGCAGUGAGGAAUAUUGGACAAUGGGUGCAAGCCUGAUCCAGCCAUCCCGCGU